AGUUACUUCUUUGCUAGGUUGAGGAAAGGGUGGAAGCGCCUCCUGCAGCCACGAAUAUCCUCCAGUGCCUGAGAGAAAACGGCCUAAUCGAAAACGUCCGCGGCAUACAUCCAUUCUUAAAACUUGAGUGGCUGCUUUUCUGGGUGGAAAAGAGCGGUAUCAGACAGGGUGAGCAGUCGGGGAACGGAUGAACAAAGACUUGCACCGUGGCCCUGAUGCCUUUGUUCCGAGUUCUAUUCAGUUGUACUUGUGCGUUGUUACAGGACUUUAGAAUGCAGCCCUGCCCCCCAACCCCCACCUCCCAGGGCCGACCUGUGCUCCUAGGAAGGCAAACCUCCCAGGAAUAUAUUCUGCAUAACUAUACAAAUAGGCCUUUAUUCAAGGCUUUUGGAUUAUGACAAAGAUUACCCUCAGGAGUAGUAAGAUUCUACUAGCAGGAUAAUAGAAAGGAUUAAGGCUCCCCUCCAAAGAAAAUUUUUUUAAGUUAGAAACGGAGGCGAGCCGCAGUGGGUCAUGCCUGUAAUUUCAAUGCUUUGGAAGGCCGAGGUGGGAGGAUAGGAUAGCUUGAGGCUAGGAGUUCGAGACCAGCCUGGGCAACAUGGGGAGACCCCCCCCCAUCCCUCCAAAAAAGAAAAGAAAACUGGAAAGCCUUAAAGAAACCUUUCAAACUUUAGUGUGUAUCAGAAUUACCUGAAAGGUUUGUUAAAACAGAUUGCUGGGCCAUACCCCCAGAAUUCUCUGACUGGGCUAUCGGAAAUAAUGCCUGAGAAUGUGCAUAUCUAAUAAGUUCCUAGUUCCACUUUAGGACCCUAGAAGGUUAGUAUCUUUCCUCUCUACCAGGCUUAUCUUAGGAUGAACCGUUCGGGGUUUGCUGAUGUGAAGCUAAAACAAAAAUAUUCUUUAAAAGGAGGGAUGUCUUAUUCAGUCCAUAAGAUCAUCUAAUGUAUUAAGCUGGCUUGGGGGAUGAAUCGGGUGUUUCAUUCAUUCAUUUGACAGGUAAGCAUUGCUUACCUACUCUAUUAUGACGGGGUCUGUGCUGACUCCGAAUAUUCGGUGGGAUGCAAAAUAGUUAAGUGCUCUUGUAGAGUUUACAGAUUAGCGGAAAACAGACAAAUUGUGUUAAGAGCAAUAGAAAGAAGAGAGCGGAGGACUCUGAGAAAUGAAGGCGAGGAGUGGGAGAAUGAGAGGAAGGUGGAAGGCAGUAACAAUGCCUGGAUUUUAUUCAGAUGCUGUGUACCCAGCCAAAAGACUACAUUUCUCAAUCUCCAUUGUAGCUGGAUGUGGCUGUGUGAUCAAGUUAUGACCAAUGAGAUAUAAGUAGAAGUAGCUUGGCCAGACACAGUGGCUCACACCUGUAAUCCCAGCCCUUUGGGAGGCCAAAGCAGGAGGAUCACUUGCACUC
This 1402-nucleotide long non-coding RNA is filed under the name Homo sapiens (human). RNAcentral describes it as "non-protein coding lnc-SLC35F5-3:17". The record is from RNAcentral. Lineage: Eukaryota; Metazoa; Chordata; Mammalia; Primates; Hominidae.